GACGAAAAAUAACGAGACCGUACUCUUUGAGGCCGGUUAUCGGAAUGGGUACAAUUUAAACCCGUUAACGAGGAUCUAUGAGAGGGCAAGUCUGGUGCCAGCAGCCGCGGUAAUUCCAGCUCUCAAAGUGUAUAUCGUCAUUGCUGCGGUUAAAAAGCUCGUAGUUGGAUCUGCGCCUCAGGACUUGGUCCGCCCACUGGGCGAGAACUAGGCUCCUGGGCUAGUUCUGCUGGUUUUCUCUACGUUGCCUUCAUCGGUCGCGUAGGGUGGCUAGCGAGUUUACUUUGAAAAAAUUAGAGUGCUUCACGCGAGCUUAUGUCUGAAUACUCGUGCAUGGAAUAAUAGAAUAGGAUCUCGGUUCUAUUUUGUUGGUUUUCUGAUCUGAGAUAAUGGUUAAGAGGGACGGACGGGGGCAUUCGUAUCGCUGCGUGAGAGGUGAAAUUCUUGGACCGUAGCGAGACGCCCGACUGCGAAAGCAUUUGCCAAGAAUGUCUUCAUUAAUCAAGAACGAAAGUCAGAGGUUCGAAGGCGAUCAGAUACCGCCCUAGUUCUGACCGUAAACGAUACCAACUAGCGUUCCGUCGGCGGUAAAUACGCCUUGACGGGCAGCUUCCCGGAAACGAAAGUCUUUCGGUUCCGGGGGAAGUAUGGUUGCAAAGCUGAAACUUAAAGAAAUUGACGGAAGGGCACCACCAGGAGUGGAGCCUGCGGCUUAAUUUGACUCAACACGGGAAAACUCACCUGGCCCGGACACCGUGA
RNAcentral lists this ribosomal RNA (759 nucleotides) under Contracaecum eudyptulae. RNAcentral describes it as "SSU rRNA". It matches the Rfam family "Eukaryotic small subunit ribosomal RNA", at positions 469 to 1236 of the family's 1831-position model. The record is from RNAcentral. Lineage: Eukaryota; Metazoa; Nematoda; Chromadorea; Rhabditida; Anisakidae.